CUUUUGACAUUAACAUCAGUUUGGUGCUAAAAUUAUUUGUUUCAAAUCAAAGGUAUGUCAAAUGCCAUUGACAUGUAUACAUCAAUCGUGACAAUACCCAUGCUGAUGCAUACCAAAAGUUGUUUUUCCGUGUCCACAAGGCUUAAAAUAUCCCAAUACUAUUUUUAUGACAGCGCCAGAAGUUUCAUCUCACAAAGCCUAGGUUUAUUGGUGCCAAUUUUAUGAAGCUGAAAUUUCUA
Non-coding RNA from Paramuricea clavata, 239 nucleotides. NCBI's taxonomy places the organism in Eukaryota, Metazoa, Cnidaria, Anthozoa, Malacalcyonacea, Plexauridae. The record is from the annotation of a GenBank genome assembly.